RNAcentral lists this long non-coding RNA (432 nucleotides) under Sus scrofa (pig). RNAcentral's name for it is "lncRNA (ENSSSCG00060031639.1)". The record is from RNAcentral. Lineage: Eukaryota; Metazoa; Chordata; Mammalia; Artiodactyla; Suidae.
UUUCUCCCCUCUUAGGUCUGUCUGGGAAAGUCAGUGUUGUUUUCUGUCUGAGGAUAAUUAACCCACUGGGUCUUGAAUUUCCUAGAUGGGGGUCCACGAACAGCUCCUCUUUAGUUUGUGCUUACUGGGUACCAUACAGGCGUGGGCUAAUUCACCCUGUGACUCUGGAUCACUCAUUUACUUCUCACAUCAGCCUUCUGACACAGGUGGUGUUCUUCCAGUCUCACAGCUGCCAGAAUUGGUUCCGUCUUCCCAUUCCCCCAGGGAAAGAGUGAGAAUGUGGCAGUGUCAAAAAAUCAUGGUGGUGGAGUUCCUACCGUGGCUCAGCAGUAAUGAACCAGGCUAGUAUCCUUGAAGACGCUGGUUCGAUCCCUGGCCUCGCUCAGUGGGUUAAGGAUCUGAAGUUACCAUCAACUGUGGUGUAAGUCGCAG